This 465-nucleotide ribosomal RNA is filed under the name uncultured bacterium. RNAcentral describes it as "bacterial SSU rRNA". It matches the Rfam family "Bacterial small subunit ribosomal RNA", at positions 335 to 793 of the family's 1533-position model. The record is from RNAcentral.
AUCCUACGGGAGGCAGCAGUGGGGAAUAUUGCACAAUGGGCGCAAGCCUGAUGCAGCCAUGCCGCGUGUAUGAAGAAGGCCUUCGGGUUGUAAAGGUACUUUCAGCAGUGAGGAAGGUGGAUAUGUUAAUAGCAUAUUCAUUUGACGUUAGCUGCAGAAGAAGCACCGGCUAACUCCGUGCCAGCAGCCGCGGUAAUACGGAGGGUGCGAGCGUUAAUCGGAAUUACUGGGCGUAAAGCGCAUGCAGGUGGUUUGUUAAGUCAGAUGUGAAAGCCCGGGGCUCAACCUCGGAAUUGCAUUUGAAACUGGCAAACUAGAGUACUGUAGAGGGGGUAGAAUUUCAGGUGUAGCGGUGAAAUGCGUAGAGAUCUGAAGGAAUACCGGUGGCGAAGGCGGCCCCCUGGACAGAUACUGACACUCAGAUGCGAAAGCGUGGGGAGCAAACAGGAUUAGAUACCCUGGUAG